Molecule: non-coding RNA, 156 nt
Organism: Acinetobacter variabilis
Lineage: Bacteria; Pseudomonadati; Pseudomonadota; Gammaproteobacteria; Moraxellales; Moraxellaceae
Source: Rfam
CCAGCAUGAUUUAGUCACGUGCUGAGUGGGCCUAAGAGAAAUACUAGAUCUGGGAUGACAACCCGACCCAUACAGAACGAAAGUUAAGAAGUCAGAUUGAUAGCCCAUUUCGAGAUGAUGGAUUAAUGAGUAGCGUCUAGCCCCGCGGAGAGGGCU